UGAGUAACACGUGAGUAACCUGCCCUUGACUCUGGGAUAAGCGUUGGAAACGACGUCUAAUACCGGAUAUGAGCUGUGACGGCAUCGUCUGCAGUUGGAAAGAUUUUUUGGUCAAGGAUGGACUCGCGGCCUAUCAGGUAGUUGGUGAGGUAAUGGCUCACCAAGCCGACGACGGGUAGCCGGCCUGAGAGGGUGACCGGCCACACUGGGACUGAGACACGGCCCAGACUCCUACGGGAGGCAGCAGUGGGGAAUAUUGCACAAUGGGCGAAAGCCUGAUGCAGCAACGCCGCGUGAGGGACGACGGCCUUCGGGUUGUAAACCUCUUUUAGUAGGGAAGAAGCGAAAGUGACGGUACCUGCAGAAAAAGCACCGGCUAACUACGUGCCAGCAGCCGCGGUAAUACGUAGGGUGCAAGCGUUGUCCGGAAUUAUUGGGCGUAAAGAGCUCGUAGGCGGUUUGUCGCGUCUGCUGUGAAAUCUGGGGGCUCAACCCCCAGCCUGCAGUGGGUACGGGCAGACUAGAGUGCGGUAGGGGAGAUUGGAAUUCCUGGUGUAGCGGUGGAAUGCGCAGAUAUCAGGAGGAACACCGAUGGCGAAGGCAGAUCUCUGGGCCGUAACUGACGCUGAGGAGCGAAAGCAUGGGGAGCGAACAGGAUUAGAUACCCUGGUAGUCCAUGCCGUAAACGUUGGGAACUAGAUGUAGGGGCCAUUCCACGGUUUCUGUGUCGCACUAAACGCAUUAAGUUCCCCGCCUGGGGGAGUACGGCCGCAAGGCUAAAACUCAAAGGAAUUGACGGGGGCCCGCACAAGCGGCGGAGCAUGCGGAUUAAUUCGAUGCAACGCGAAGAACCUUACCAAGGCUUGACAUAUACCGGAAACGUCCAGAGAUGGUCGCCCCGCAAGGUCGGUAUACAGGUGGUGCAUGGUUGUCGUCAGCUCGUGUCGUGAGAUGUUGGGUUAAGUCCCGCAACGAGCGCAACCCUCGUUCUAUGUUGCCAGCACGUUAUGGUGGGAACUCAUAGGAGACUGCCGGGGUCAACUCGGAGGAAGGUGGGGAUGACGUCAAAUCAUCAUGCCCCUUAUGUCUUGGGCUUCACGCAUGCUACAAUGGCCGAUACAAAGGGCUGCGAUACCGUAAGGUGGAGCGAAUCCCAAAAAGUCGGUCUCAG
This 1171-nucleotide ribosomal RNA is filed under the name Frondihabitans peucedani. Its description in RNAcentral is "bacterial SSU rRNA". It matches the Rfam family "Bacterial small subunit ribosomal RNA", at positions 107 to 1291 of the family's 1533-position model. Lineage: Bacteria; Bacillati; Actinomycetota; Actinomycetes; Micrococcales; Microbacteriaceae. The record is from RNAcentral.